This 877-nucleotide ribosomal RNA is filed under the name Enterococcus faecium. RNAcentral describes it as "bacterial SSU rRNA". It matches the Rfam family "Bacterial small subunit ribosomal RNA", at positions 26 to 872 of the family's 1533-position model. The record is from RNAcentral. Lineage: Bacteria; Bacillati; Bacillota; Bacilli; Lactobacillales; Enterococcaceae.
AGGACGAACGCUGGCGGCGUGCCUAAUACAUGCAAGUCGAACGCUUCUUUUUCCACCGGAGCUUGCUCCACCGGAAAAAAGAGGAGUGGCGAACGGGUGAGUAACACGUGGGUAACCUGCCCAUCAGAAGGGGAUAACACUUGGAAACAGGUGCUAAUACCGUAUAACAAUCGAAACCGCAUGGUUUUGAUUUGAAAGGCGCUUUCGGGUGUCGCUGAUGGAUGGACCCGCGGUGCAUUAGCUAGUUGGUGAGGUAACGGCUCACCAAGGCCACGAUGCAUAGCCGACCUGAGAGGGUGAUCGGCCACAUUGGGACUGAGACACGGCCCAAACUCCUACGGGAGGCAGCAGUAGGGAAUCUUCGGCAAUGGACGAAAGUCUGACCGAGCAACGCCGCGUGAGUGAAGAAGGUUUUCGGAUCGUAAAACUCUGUUGUUAGAGAAGAACAAGGAUGAGAGUAACUGUUCAUCCCUUGACGGUAUCUAACCAGAAAGCCACGGCUAACUACGUGCCAGCAGCCGCGGUAAUACGUAGGUGGCAAGCGUUGUCCGGAUUUAUUGGGCGUAAAGCGAGCGCAGGCGGUUUCUUAAGUCUGAUGUGAAAGCCCCCGGCUCAACCGGGGAGGGUCAUUGGAAACUGGGAGACUUGAGUGCAGAAGAGGAGAGUGGAAUUCCAUGUGUAGCGGUGAAAUGCGUAGAUAUAUGGAGGAACACCAGUGGCGAAGGCGGCUCUCUGGUCUGUAACUGACGCUGAGGCUCGAAAGCGUGGGGAGCAAACAGGAUUAGAUACCCUGGUAGUCCACGCCGUAAACGAUGAGUGCUAAGUGUUGGAGGGUUUCCGCCCUUCAGUGCUGCAGCUAACGCAUUAAGCACUCCGC